Molecule: ribosomal RNA, 1315 nt
Filed under: uncultured bacterium
Lineage: Bacteria
Description: bacterial SSU rRNA
Rfam family: Bacterial small subunit ribosomal RNA
Source: RNAcentral
AGAGUUUGAUCCUGGCUCAGGAUGAACGCUGGCGGCGCGCCUAACACAUGCAAGUCGAACGGCACCUAUCUUCGGAUAGAAGCGAGUGGCGAACGGCUGAGUAACACGUGGAGAACCUGCCCCCUCCCCCGGGAUAGCCGCCCGAAAGGACGGGUAAUACCGGAUACCCCGGGGUGGCGCAUGGCACCCCGGCUAAAGCCCCGACGGGAGGGGAUGGCUCCGCGGCCCAUCAUGUAGACGGCGGGGUGACGGCCCACCGUGCCGACAACGGGUAGCCGGGUUGAGAGACCGACCGGCCAGAUUGGGACUGAGACACGGCCCAGACUCCUACGGGAGGCAGCAGUGGGGAAUCUUGCACAAUGGGGGGAACCCUGACGCAUCGACACCUCUUGCGGGACGGAGGGCUUCUGGUCGUAAGCCGCUUUCAGCAGGGAAGAGUCAAGACUGUACCUGCAGAAGAAGCCCCGGCUAACUACGUGCCAGCAGCCGCGGUAAUACGUAGGGGGCGAGCGUUAUCCGGAUUCAUUGGGCGUAAAGCGCGCGUAGGCGGCCCGGCAGGCCGGGGGUCGAAGCGGGGGGCUCAACCCCCCGAAGCCCCCGGAACCUCCGCGGCUUGGGUCCGGUAGGGGAGGGUGGAACACCCGGUGUAGCGGUGGAAUGCGCAGAUAUCGGGUGGAACACCGGUGGCGAAGGCGGCCCUCUGGGCCGAGACCGACGCUGAGGCGCGAAAGCUGGGGGAGCGAAACAGGAUUAGAUACCCUGGUAGUCCCAGCCGUAAACGAUGGACGCUAGGUGUGGGGGGACGAUCCCCCCGUGCCGCAGCCAACGCAUUAAGCGUCCCGCCUGGGGAGUACGGCCGCAAGGCUAAAACUCAAAGGAAUUGACGGGGGCCCGCACAAGCAGCGGAGCAUGUGGCUUAAUUCGAAGCAACGCGAAGAACCUUACCAGGGCUUGACAUAUGGGUGAAGCGGGGGAGACCCCGUGGCCGAGAGGAGCCCAUACAGGUGGUGCAUGGCUGUCGUCAGCUCGUGUCGUGAGAUGUUGGGUUAAGUCCCGCAACGAGCGCAACCCCCGCCGCGUGUUGCCAUCGGGUGAUGCCGGGAACCCACGCGGGACCGCCGCCGUCAAGGCGGAGGAGGGCGGGGACGACGUCAAGUCAUCAUGCCCCUUAUGCCCUGGCUGCACACGUGCUACAAUGGCCGGUACAGAGGGAUGCCACCCCGAGAGGGGGAGCGGAUCCCGGAAAGCCGGCCCCAGUUCGGAUUGGGGGCUGCAACCCGCCCCCAUGAAGUCGGAGUUGCUAGUAAUCGCGGAU